UGGGGAAUUUUGGACAAUGGGCGCAAGCCUGAUCCAGCAAUGCCGCGUGAGUGAAGAAGGCCUUCGGGUUGUAAAGCUCUUUUGUCAGGGAAGAAACGGCUGUGGCUAAUAUCCACGGCUAAUGACGGUACCUGAAGAAUAAGCACCGGCUAACUACGUGCCAGCAGCCGCGGUAAUACGUAGGGUGCAAGCGUUAAUCGGAAUUACUGGGCGUAAAGCGUGCGCAGGCGGUUUUGUAAGUCUGUCGUGAAAUCCCCGGGCUCAACCUGGGAAUUGCGAUGGAGACUGCAAGGCUAGAAUCUGGCAGAGGGGGGUAGAAUUCCACGUGUAGCAGUGAAAUGCGUAGAGAUGUGGAGGAACACCGAUGGCGAAGGCAGCCCCCUGGGUCAAGAUUGACGCUCAUGCACGAAAGCGUGGGGAGCAAACAGGAUUAGAUACCCUGGUAGUCCACGCCCUAAACGAUGUCUACUAGUUGUCGGGUUUUAAUUAACUCGGUAACGCAGCUAACGCGUGAAGUAGACCGCCUG
Molecule: ribosomal RNA, 527 nt
Filed under: uncultured beta proteobacterium
Lineage: Bacteria; Pseudomonadati; Pseudomonadota; Betaproteobacteria
Description: SSU rRNA
Rfam family: Bacterial small subunit ribosomal RNA
Source: RNAcentral